RNAcentral lists this unclassified non-coding RNA (374 nucleotides) under soil metagenome. RNAcentral describes it as "partial contains internal transcribed spacer 2 and large subunit ribosomal RNA". The stretch from base 1 to 120 matches the Rfam family "5.8S ribosomal RNA", at positions 35 to 154 of the family's 154-position model. The record is from RNAcentral.
GAUGAAGAACGUAGCGAAAUGCGAUAAUUAAUGUGAAUUGCAGAAUUCCGUGAAUCAUCGAGUCUUUGAACGCACAUUGCGCCUCAUGGCAUUCCGUGAGGCAUGCCCAUCUCAGCGUUAGAAAAUAUUCUCAAAUUUUAGUUUUGUGCUAAAAUUUGGAUCAUGUCAAGGAAGCUAUUACUAUUAUUGUGAUCGCUCUUUGGAAAUUGAUAGGUCUUUGAGUUGCUACUCAUAGAACGUGAUGAAUCUUUCUUCGUUCUAUUGUAAUUCACUCUGGUAGUCCUAAAACUUGUAUGCCUGUGGCAUAUCUUGUAAUUUGACCUGAGAUUGGGUAGGGAUACCCGCUAAACUUAAGCAUAUCAAUAAGCGGAGGA